GAGAGAGUGCCUGCGGGUGGAGAAAGGUCCAGUCGGGUGGAAAGCACCGAGGGCCCCAGGUGCAAUGAGGAGGAAGAAAGAAGGUCCUAAUAUUUAAACGCCUGAAAAACAAGUGGUUAUUGUUUUUCUUGGGAAAUGGAAGGCCUGGAAAGCGGAACUUGGGUUCAGUGGGCCGGGCAAUAGCAAUAAGGCGGCAGUAAAUUGCAACCAAAGUCAAGAAACUCAAGCUCCUAAUUUCGGGAAAAUAUACACUGGGUUUAAAGGAAUAGCAUAGGACAUGCUGCCUAAUUUUUGACCAGUAUCUCUUAUUUUUGGUAACCUCUGAAGAAAACACCUACUACUUCGUUUUGAAAAUAGACUUUCCUUGUGAAGCUAUUAAAAUGCUCACUCACGGACACUGAAUAAAAUUCCAUUCUAUGGAUGUACCACAGUUUGUCCAUUCACCUAUUUGACGGACAUCUUGGUUGAUUCCAAGUUUGGACAAUUAUAAAUAAAGCUGCUAUAAAUAUCCACGUGCAGGUUUUUGUAUGGACAUAAAUUUUCAUCUCAUUUGGGUAAAUACCAAGGAGCGCAACUGCUGAAUCUUAAGCAUACGGUGGAGUCUUCCAGAGGCUAUAUGACGUGUAAUAUCACAACAGAAGCAGAUAUGAGAACCCAGCGGUCUUCUGUUAAACCACAUAUUAAAAUACAAAAUGUAAAACAAUAGCAC
This 709-nucleotide long non-coding RNA is filed under the name Equus asinus (donkey). RNAcentral describes it as "lncRNA (ENSEASG00005037161.1)". The record is from RNAcentral. Lineage: Eukaryota; Metazoa; Chordata; Mammalia; Perissodactyla; Equidae.